Molecule: unclassified non-coding RNA, 327 nt
Filed under: Hevea brasiliensis (rubber tree)
Lineage: Eukaryota; Viridiplantae; Streptophyta; Magnoliopsida; Malpighiales; Euphorbiaceae
Source: RNAcentral
UUUUUUAAUCUGAUUGUGAUAAUUGGAUAUGGGUAUCUUGCAUAUGUGAUGUGGCCUGAUAUUAAAGAGCAGAUAUAUAACAUGAGAAAUUCUGGGGUGGAGGGCUAUGCUGUUGUUAUUUCAACUUUAUUUGCAGUUAUUCUACUCGUUGUAAUGCUUUGUUUCUUUGAUUUGCUCAAACGAAUCAUGAAGUAGGAGCAGUCUUGUUUCUGCACUGUACCCUUUUCUAUGAAUUCUGUCAGACUGUGAUAACUAAUCUUGUUCCUCUUUUUUGGCUUGUUAUUAUGUGUGUGAAAUAAGAUUUACAAGACUGUCUUAAGACUAUUU